CAUUGUAAGGCACAUAGUAAGCAGUCAAGAAUAUUUGUGGUUCUACUGACUGAAGUGAUCCUAUCUUGUGACUCAUGCAUGGCACGUCUAUAAGUCAAGCUGGAAUCCUCUAAAAUAAGUCACAUGGGAAAAAAUUCUGAUCUUAUUCUAGACGAAGAAUGAAAAGCCAGGAAGCUACAUAACCCAAGCCAUCAAUCCUUUCCCCAGCCCUCACAUUAGGAGCCCUGGGAAGACAUCCAGGGACCUAACAAAGGAACCAGGAGGAGUUUUACAUUUAAGGCAGACAACUAUAAAAUCACUGAAAAGGUUGAAACAGAACCAUUCAAGAGAGGGCCAGACUCAACCACAGAGAAAUCCUCAUUUUAGUUUUCACAGAAACUUGCAUUGAGGUGCCUUUCUAGGAUUUUAGCACAUGGAAGAAAUGUCCCUACCCAUGCAUACAGAAACGCAUAAGAACAGGAAGUGACGUAUUGUUUAUCAGGAAAAACAGUAUUCAUGUAUUAUUUACAAAAAUUGAGGCUGAUCUCCAAGCUCUACUGUGGAAAGAGUUCAUCAAGUUCCUAGACUGAAGAAAGCUAAUUGGGACCUCAAGAGCAUAACUUAAUCUCAGAGUUGUUCACCUCCGUGCAACGAAGUUGGGCUUUCAAGUAUUCUUUGACUAAGAGCCUGUGCUGGAGAAAGGGGCCACGCUGGGCAGGAAGGAAACCCCUAAGAACUCUGCAGCAGGUGGUAAAGGGAUUCCAGCAGUUGAGGCAGCCUUCCUAAGAGAAAUGCAGGUGCAACAGAAAAACAAAAGCAAACACAAGCCAGGAGAAGGAUGCAGCCAAGGAGAAAAGGGGAUUGGAGGAGAUUUAACAGAGUAUCAACAGGAUCCACUGCAGAAGAGGUAACAAAUUAAAAAAUUAAAAUAUCAUAUCCCAAAAUGGAAAUAAAACAGAUAGAAUGCCGAGUAUAUAUUAAAUAAGGCAAGCUAUUUAUGAUGAGCUAACUCACUUGCAAGUUACCAGAGAGCAUGGAGUAAAUCCUUUAUUUCUCAUGUCCUCAUUGUGCCUAAGACUGCGUUUCUGUACACACAUUAAAAAAACAGGAAAUCAAUGGUUCCCAAUGGUGAUGUGUGAACUCUUCAGGAUCUGGAGGAACAUUAUUAAAUUGCUCCAUUAGCUUUCUCUUGUUUGGGUUGAAAAUAAAAAUUGUGAUGCCAUUUCUACCUAGUUCAUUCUUCCCAAGACUAAACUAAGUCAUGGUUUUCUUACUAAUUAGGCAAUAAUGAGGAUCUUAAAAAUAUUGUAAGAGAAAAAUGUCUUAGCAAUGGAAUAGGCAAUCAGACUAGCAAUCAUGACAGUGCCUGAGGAAGAAAGGAAAGAAAUUUUAAGGUGGGUAAUUUUUGUAAAUCCAUAUCUCUUUUUACUUUGGCCUAGAGGCAAAUAUUCUCUACUAAUUUAACUUUUGAAAAAACUCAUUAGAUUAUGUAGACGAAAGACCAGAUGAGGAGAAAUAAGUAAAUGUUAGAGAAAAUUCUGCCAUGUAAUAUUUAUAGGACUUCAGCAGAGCCAUUUUUAACAUUUACAAAAUGACAGAAUUGUACUAUAUAUCUCUAUGUUUAUUUUCUGUUCUGAAAUUUUAUGCUGAAGUAGGUCCAACUUUUAACUCUUAUACAGUUGUCCCUUUGUAUCCAUGGGGAAUUGGUUCCAGGAUCUCCAAAGUUAUGAAAAUCCAAGGAUGCUCA
This 1726-nucleotide long non-coding RNA is filed under the name Homo sapiens (human). RNAcentral describes it as "HSALNT0310186". Lineage: Eukaryota; Metazoa; Chordata; Mammalia; Primates; Hominidae. The record is from RNAcentral.